GAGGUUGUGGCUCAAUGGUUCAGCACUUGUCUAGCAUGCAUGAGGCACUGGGUUUGAUCCCCAGCACUACA
Molecule: transfer RNA, 71 nt
Filed under: Marmota monax (woodchuck)
Lineage: Eukaryota; Metazoa; Chordata; Mammalia; Rodentia; Sciuridae
Description: tRNA.Ala
Rfam family: tRNA (bases 6-66)
About the family: Transfer RNA (tRNA) molecules are approximately 80 nucleotides in length.
Source: RNAcentral